RNAcentral lists this transfer RNA (65 nucleotides) under Sinopanorpa tincta. RNAcentral's name for it is "tRNA-His". It matches the Rfam family "tRNA". From Rfam's summary of the family: Transfer RNA (tRNA) molecules are approximately 80 nucleotides in length. RNAcentral also lists the same sequence under 2 other names. Lineage: Eukaryota; Metazoa; Arthropoda; Insecta; Mecoptera; Panorpidae. The record is from RNAcentral.
ACUUAAAUAGUUUAAAAUAAAACAUUGAUUUGUGGUGUCAAAAAUAUGAGGAAUCAUUUUAGGUA